AGCACCUGUACAUUUGGGGCAUAUAAACUUAGCAAGUGAAGUUUGCGAGGGCCUAGCAUACCUGACAAUAUAUAGCGGCCUUCUGUAUCCUGGGAAGUAUUUGAGACUUUAAACUGGCAACAUUUAUGAAUCAAGACUGCCACUCCGUUAUGCUUGCGGAGGGCGCUUCGAACUGUAAGCUCUAUCAUACAUUUUAUCCAUAAGAGAAAUCACAUGAGAUCUGUUUAAAUGGGUUUCUUGUAAAAAGGCAAUAUAGACCUGAAAUCUUUGCAUUUCCUUAAACAUCAGUUUUCUCUUCACAGGUGAAUUAAGG
Pelobates cultripes (western spadefoot toad) is the source of this 313-nucleotide non-coding RNA. The record is from the annotation of a GenBank genome assembly. Lineage: Eukaryota; Metazoa; Chordata; Amphibia; Anura; Pelobatidae.